RNAcentral lists this long non-coding RNA (460 nucleotides) under Monodon monoceros (narwhal). RNAcentral's name for it is "lncRNA (ENSMMNG00015006507.1)". The record is from RNAcentral. Lineage: Eukaryota; Metazoa; Chordata; Mammalia; Artiodactyla; Monodontidae.
CUUUGCUUUUCUUCUCUUUUAAAGGAUCAUGGCAAGGAAUGGUAAGAUCAUGUUACAACAUGACAACAACAAAAGUCUGUAGCAUUUCUGCUCACUGAACUCUGCUAAAUGAUGAACUGUGAAGGGAUCCUUGAAGAAUUGGUGACAAUUUGCAUAGGUGACAGAAGAGGAAAGAAAGAACCUUGGAGGUGGCAAUGAGGAUAUGUUUACAGUUUCUGGUCCCACAUGUGAGGUUCUUGGAAGUUGCCACUCCAUCCUAACAACGAGUAAAAAGCUGAACAAUCUGAGAAACCAACUACUCUUGUGGAUCCAUAAGAGAGGGGAGGACAAAGGCCAAACGUCUGCCCCUGGGAUUGGAGAGAUAGACAGACCAACACAAGGAGUCAUGGCUUCCCAUAGCAGAGACUCACGAGUGGAAACUGCCAGGGGAACCAGUGCCAAGGAGUUCUCAGAAGGCUGA